This 458-nucleotide ribosomal RNA is filed under the name uncultured bacterium. RNAcentral's name for it is "bacterial SSU rRNA". It matches the Rfam family "Bacterial small subunit ribosomal RNA", at positions 28 to 521 of the family's 1533-position model. The record is from RNAcentral.
GACGAACGCUGGCGGUGUGCUUCACACAUGCAAGUCGAACGAGGUAGCAAUACCUAGUGGCGGACGGGUGAGUAACGCGUGGGAAUCUGCCUUUAGAUGGGGGGAUAACGGGUCGAAAGACUCGCUAAUACCGCAUAUGACGAAAGUUGAAAGGAGUAAUCCGUCUAAAGAUGAGCCCGCGUCCGAUUAGCUAGUUGGGUAGAGUAAAAGCCUACCAAGGCGACGAUCGGUAGCUGGUCUGAGAGGAUGAUCAGCCACAAUGGGAACUAGAGACACGGCCCAUACUCCUACGGAGGCAGCAGUGGGGAAUUUUACGCAAUGGGCGAAAGCCUGACGUAGCGACACCGCGUGAGCGAAGAAGCCCCUUGGGGUGUAAAGCUCUGUCAGCUGGAACGAAAAAAAAUGACGGUACCAGCAGAGGAAGCAAUUCGGCUAAACUACGUGCCAGCAGCCGCGGU